This 112-nucleotide ribosomal RNA is filed under the name Streptococcus sanguinis SK1 = NCTC 7863. RNAcentral's name for it is "partial 23S ribosomal RNA". It matches the Rfam family "Bacterial large subunit ribosomal RNA", at positions 1 to 112 of the family's 2925-position model. The record is from RNAcentral. Lineage: Bacteria; Bacillati; Bacillota; Bacilli; Lactobacillales; Streptococcaceae.
GUUAAGUUAGUAAGGGCGCACGGUGGAUGCCUUGGCACUAGGAGCCGAUGAAGGACGUGACAAACGACGAAAUGCCUCGGGGAGCUGUAAGUAAGCACUUGAUCCGGGGAUG